GAUGAACGCUGGCGGCGUGCCUAAUACAUGCAAGUCGAACGCUUCACUUCGGUGAAGAGUGGCGAACGGGUGAGUAAUACAUAAGUAACCUGGCAUCUACAGGGGGAUAACUGAUGGAAACGUCAGCUAAGACCGCAUAGGUGUAGAGAUCGCAUGAACUCUAUAUGAAAAGUGCUACGGGACUGGUAGAUGAUGGACUUAUGGCGCAUUAGCUUGUUGGUAGGGUAACGGCCUACCAAGGCGACGAUGCGUAGCCGACCUGAGAGGGUGACCGGCCACACUGGGACUGAGACACGGCCCAGACUCCUACGGGAGGCAGCAGUAGGGAAUUUUCGGCAAUGGGGGAAACCCUGACCGAGCAACGCCGCGUGAAGGAAGAAGUAAUUCGUUAUGUAAACUUCUGUCAUAGAGGAAGAACGGUGGAUAUAGGGAAUGAUAUCCAAGUGACGGUACUCUAUAAGAAAGCCACGGCUAACUACGUGCCAGCAGCCGCGGUAAUACGUAGGUGGCGAGCGUUAUCCGGAAUUAUUGGGCGUAAAGAGGGAGCAGGCGGCACUAAGGGUCUGUGGUGAAAGAUCGAAGCUUAACUUCGGUAAGCCAUGGAAACCGUAGAGCUAGAGUGUGUGAGAGGAUCGUGGAAUUCCAUGUGUAGCGGUGAAAUGCGUAGAUAUAUGGAGGAACACCAGUGGCGAAGGCGACGAUCUGGCGCAUAACUGACGCUCAGUCCCGAAAGCGUGGGGAGCAAAUAGGAUUAGAUACCCUAGUAGUCCACGCCGUAAACGAUGAGUACUAAGUGUUGGGUGUCAAAGCUCAGUGCUGCAGUUAACGCAAUAAGUACUCCGCCUGAGUAGUACGUUCGCAAGAAUGAAACUCAAAGGAAUUGACGGGGGCCCGCACAAGCGGUGGAGCAUGUGGUUUAAUUCGAAGCAACGCGAAGAACCUUACCAGGUCUUGACAUCGAUCUAAAGGCUCCAGAGAUGGAGAGAUAGCUAUAGAGAAGACAGGUGGUGCAUGGUUGUCGUCAGCUCGUGUCGUGAGAUGUUGGGUUAAGUCCCGCAACGAGCGCAACCCCCGUUGCCAGUUGCCAGCAUUAAGUUGGGGACUCUGGCGAGACUGCCGGUGACAAGCCGGAGGAAGGCGGGGAGGACGUCAAAUCAUCAUGCCCCCUAUGACCUGGGCUACACACGUGCUACAAUGGACAGAGCAGAGGGAAGCGAAGCCGCGAGGUGGAGCGAAACCCAUAAAACUGUUCUCAGUUCGGACUGCAGUCUGCAACUCGACUGCACGAAGAUGGAAUCGCUAGUAAUCGCGAAUCAGCAUGUCGCG
This 1326-nucleotide ribosomal RNA is filed under the name uncultured bacterium. RNAcentral's name for it is "bacterial SSU rRNA". It matches the Rfam family "Bacterial small subunit ribosomal RNA", at positions 28 to 1361 of the family's 1533-position model. The record is from RNAcentral.